GCUGCUGCUGGCGCUGCUGGGGACCGGGUUGGUGUUGCGCCGCACCGGUCUUCUGAGGUGGAGGAGACAUCAGGAGGCGGAGUCCCAGCCUUCAGGGCUGCCCCAGGGCUUCUCCAACCCUGUGUUCCACUCGGCGACCUGGAAGGAGCAGCCCCCAGUACAGCUGCCCAGCGUGGGCCUGGAUGUGGACAGCAGCACCUGCUAUUUCGUGAACCCGCUGUUUGUGGCCGAGACGGAAGCCUGAUACCCAGACCCCACCUGCACAGUGGGGACCCCCACCUUGAGGCCUCCUGGUGCCCACAAUAAAGGGUUUUUUUCUGCACCCAA
RNA transcript from Fukomys damarensis (Damara mole-rat), 327 nucleotides. RefSeq lists it as uncharacterized. NCBI's taxonomy places the organism in Eukaryota, Metazoa, Chordata, Mammalia, Rodentia, Bathyergidae. The transcript is spliced from 3 exons. The record is from RefSeq and is a predicted model, not a curated record.